Manis pentadactyla (Chinese pangolin) is the source of this 2204-nucleotide long non-coding RNA. RefSeq lists it as uncharacterized. NCBI's taxonomy places the organism in Eukaryota, Metazoa, Chordata, Mammalia, Pholidota, Manidae. The transcript has 4 exons. The record is from RefSeq and is a predicted model, not a curated record.
CCUAACCCACAGCCACACUCAGCAGAGCCAGAGCAUGCCUCCCAGCAGGGGUGUGGCUGUAGGGGCCUGGAGGGGUGGGGGGUGCUCAGGACAGCAGCGAGGAGCCGUCUGCCCUGUGGGGCCGUGGGUUUAAGAGCAGCUUCCCUGGAGCAGUGCUGGAGGGGCUGGCAGUUCUCCCCACAAUCCCGGGGCGGUGCGGAGGGCACAUGCUCUGGCCUGCACGUGAAGUGCAGCUCGGGUGGCCCUAGACCAAGGAGGCAUGCUGCACCACGGUGCCCGGAUCACAUCCCUCCUGCACCCAAGCUGCCCGAGGGAGGUGUCACAGUGGCUCCGCAAAGUCAGAGGGUCUGUUCUCCAUUUGACUGAAUGAACCCAUCGGCCUCUGCCUUUGCCCCAAGACGCAUGUGGUGCCCAAAACACGCUUCAUGUCUGCUGGAGUGCGCACCCGUCUGCUCCCCAUGUCCACAGAAGGGACUGAAGAGGUCUGUCGUCUCAGCCUCCAGGUGGGAACCCAGGACACCGUCUCCUCCGACCAGCUCUUGCGCAGUCUUCCCAGCCAGCUAACGUGCCCUUGAGGCAAUGCCAUCGUGAGAAGUCAGCCUCCACACCCUCAGAUACCCCACACAGAUGAGGAGCCGCAGUUGGGCAAGACCAUCCCAGGGAAAGAUCUAAUGGUCUCCCACCCUUCUGCCAGCCGCUCAAAGACAACGGGAGGCUUUUGCUAGCUGCUCACCAACAUGGUUUUGUUUUUAAGAGAAGCCAUCUUGCUGAGGAGGGACACAAACUGGCAGAGCCCUGCCAUCUGUGGGCCACGCAUUGUGCCACAGCGGCCAGGGACGACCAGCGCCCCUCUCUCAGCCCAGCGCCCUGUCCUCUAAGGGUGAGCGGUCCAGGAGCCACGCGAGACAAGUCAAGACGCACACCGGGAAGGAGCUCGAUCAUUUUUACUGAAAUGACAACAAAAAAGGAAAGUGCCAGCCUCUAAGAUGUAACCUCCUGGAAUCACAGCCCCCAGCACAGGCGAUUUCCUGGGGUGGGGCUGCGGAAGGCAGAGGGUGAGGACAUUGCCCUAAAGGGGGCAAAGCUGGUUCUUGGGGGUGAGGAAAAUCUUACUAGUUUUAUGUACAAAGCACAGAUAUACAUACAUUACACGAACUUGGAGUCUAUCUCUUGUUAAAAUGUGUGGAGGGGGUAGGGGCAGUUGGGAAAAACAGGCCUAAAAAGCUUUGGGAGGGGAGGUGACGAGGCUGGGAAACACCAGCAACAGAGUAACUAUCUUCCUUUUGGCUUACUUCCUUCCACUUGAAUCCCCAAACAUUUUUCGCUGUUGCAAGUAUGGAAUGCUAGUUCACAUUGUUUGCAGCUAUUCAGUUUGCAUAUUCCUCUCCUGCAGUCGGGACUGAACAAGGCUGAUGAGGGGCCGCUGUGUGCAGGCCCUGCAGGCUUCGGCUCCCUCAUGAAAUGCUGUGUCUCUGUGCGUGGCACUUGUACUCUUUGAUGUCUGUGAGGUAGACGAUCAUCACCGUGAUUUACUAAUCCAUUCAUCCAUGGUUUUUUAAAUUUCUAUUGAAUGAACAAUGUCUUUGCCUGUGUUGAAUGACUGUAUUGUCUUGAGGUAAAACCUUGGGAGAAGAAUUAGAGAAGUUUGAUGUCACAGGUUGCUUAAACCACCCCUGCCACAAAGAGGCUCUUUUUCCGCUAAGGGAGGGGUAGCUCAGACACCCCGAACUCCAACAGGGCAGGGCAGAGAGGCUGCUACCCAGCCUCUGCUGCCACACGCUGUCCCCCCUCAGUUCGGAGGGGCUGCCUGGACUGCCUGUGGUCCCCAAAGCUGGGAGCCUACAAGCCCAGCUGUUGCACCAGCCAGGGGCAGGGCCACUGAAAUGAACACCACUGCUCUAAUCAGAGAUGGGACAAAGGACUGGCACUAUGGUUUACCCAUCUGUUGAAACAACUUAUUUCCUGCCACUUAUCCAGAGCAGGACAGGGAGAGAAACAAAGAGGGGCAGAGAGGACAGUUUCCUCCAAAGCAAACACUGCAUCAUGCGCCUGGGUUCCUCCCUCUUCAGCGGGACUGGCACGGCCCUUGGCAAACGGGGGCUGUUGACCUGGAAGAAGGCUGACUCUCUUCCUGUCUGGUCUCCUGAAAGAUUCACGGAGGCCUACAGAUGGAGUCAUUAAAAGCACUCUGGCCUAGAUAUCAC